Molecule: ribosomal RNA, 449 nt
Filed under: uncultured bacterium
Lineage: Bacteria
Description: bacterial SSU rRNA
Rfam family: Bacterial small subunit ribosomal RNA
Source: RNAcentral
AACGAACGUUGGCGGCGUGGAUUAGGCAUGCAAGUCGAGCGAAUCCUAGUCCCUCACCUUGCUCUUUGGCGAGCCGGGGCAUGUAAGUGCCCGGAGUUCGGAUUGAGGGUGAGGUGAGGGGCUGGGGGAAGCGGCGCAAGGGGCAGUAAGGCAUGGAUAACCUACCCUGGGGACGGGGAUAGCUUCUCUAACGAGAAGGUAAUACCCGAUGACGUGACUGGUAGACAUCUCUGGUCACCAAAUGAAUUUCGCCCUGGGAGGGGUUCAUGUGGUAUUAGCUUGUUGGUGGGGUAACGGCCUACCAAGGCAAAGAUGCCUAGCUGGUGUGAGAGCAUGACCAGCGCCACUGGGACUGAGACACUGCCCAGACUCCUACGGGAGGCUGCAGUCGAGGAUCUUCCACAAUGGGCGAAAGCCUGAUGGGAGCGGCGCCGCGUGUGCGAUGAAGG